ACUGUCCAUCAUCUCCUUUAACCCUUAUACCUCAUCGCCGUUCGCCACCCACCGAAAAUCGUCAGCGGCGGCGGUUGGUCUCCAAACUCCAUCAAAUCUUGCCCACACAACCUCCAUUGUCCCCCCAUUCCAAAUCCACCAUUAUCUUCCUCAAAAAAUUACCAACCUCUCCGAAUUUCAAAUCUGAGAUUAAAGAAAGUCUAACAUUUUUUUUCCUUUUCUAAUUCCUUCCUCAUCUGGCCUCUUCUUGACGUUGGAGCAUGCAUGAAUCGACUAUCCUUACUGUGAGGAGUCGAUUGGAUAUGGUCCCAACUGGGUUCAUGGUGGCCGGAUUCUGGGCGAGCAACCAUCAAUGGCCCAAAAUAUUUAGAGCUUCUACUUCAUCGUCCUCUUGGCGUAUGUUGAGGAUUGUAACAUGAAGCACUAGCCGUUGAAGAAAUUCCGGCCAAUGAUCAUGUUACAAUUUCCAUAAUUAGCCAAGGCCUCUAUUCGCCGGAUUUGUAAUCAACUCGCUUUUGGUUUUCUUCGGGUCAUCGGAAUUUUUAGCAAACUGGCCGGUACCCCUUUUGAAUCCUUGGAUUGAAAAUGAAUCUGAAGAUGUAUGUGUGUUGAGGCUGAUGCACUAAUCAGUGUUUUUCUUCAGUAAAUGGUGUUUCAUGAGCUGAUUAACUUGUGCCUCCUUUUUUGUCAGUCAAUGUGUUGUUUUGCAUAUUAGUGGAUAUGGACAUGUAUUUAGUGUAUAGGCUUUCAUGUAAUGCUGAAUCUUUGAGCUGUUAAGUUGUGAUUUCAGUUGUUAGAUGUUGAAUUUGGCUAUGUUUAAGUUUGGUUGUUAGCUGAAUCUAUCAGAUUUGAUGGUAAAUAAAUAGAUGUUUCAGUUGAAAUUAUCCUUGAAUCCAUACAUGAGCAAUCAUCAGAACCCAGCCCUUUUUUUGUUGUAAAUGAAUGAUUGUGCCUGACACGUUUUCUUAGUCAAUCUAUCAAAUGUUCUUUUAAUAAGUUUGGAUUUAGGUAGACUAAGUCCAAAUCCCUUAAAAUUAAAAGCUGAGUCUCUACGUUUCUAAAUCUAUAGUUAGCAAUUUUAAUUCAAUGUUAUGUUUAGCUGUAAUUAAAGUUUGGAGUGUGAUUUGCAAAGCUUUUUUUGUGUUGUCAAAAAUUUCAAAUUUGUAAUAACGCCUUUUGAUGCUCAAAUUGAGCCAAAUAUUGUAAAAGGACCUCACAAGGGAGUCAUACAGGCCCAUCCAAUUUUCUACGGGCCAUUUGGACUUUGGAUUUCAUCCACUUAAGUCCAUCUGACUCACAAGCCUUUGGCCCAUUUCAUAGUUGUUAUUGUUUUGUAUCAUGUUAAGCCACCUUGAUUUCUAUUCAGCCAAUUCAUUAGACCAUGUACUCUAGUCGAACUCGUUUAAAUGGGUUUAUUAUCACAUUCAUUUCGUACUACAAUUUC
Long non-coding RNA from Nicotiana tabacum (common tobacco), 1444 nucleotides. RefSeq lists it as uncharacterized. The record is from RefSeq and is a predicted model, not a curated record. Lineage: Eukaryota; Viridiplantae; Streptophyta; Magnoliopsida; Solanales; Solanaceae.